GACGAACGCUGGCGGCGUGCUUAACACAUGCAAGUCGAACGGAAAGGCCCUGCUUUUGUGGGGUGCUCGAGUGGCGAACGGGUGAGUAACACGUGAGUAACCUGCCCUUGACUUUGGGAUAACUUCAGGAAACUGGGGCUAAUACCGGAUAGGAGCUCCUGCUGCAUGGUGGGGGUUGGAAAGUUUUGGCGGUUGGGGAUGGACUCGCGGGUUAUCAGCUUGUUGGUGGGGUAGUGGCUUACCAAGGCUUUGACGGGUAGCCGGCCUGGGAGGGUGACCGGCCACAUUGGGACUGCGAUACGGCGCAGACUCCUACGGUAGGCAGCAGUGGGGAGUAUUGCACAACGGGCGGAAGCGUGAUGCAGCAACGCCGCGUGCGGGAUGACGGCCUUCGGGUUGUAAACCGCUUUCGCCUGUGACGAAGCGUGAGUGACGGUAAUGGGUAAAGAAGCACCGGCUAACUACGUG
RNAcentral lists this ribosomal RNA (468 nucleotides) under uncultured bacterium. RNAcentral describes it as "partial 16S ribosomal RNA". It matches the Rfam family "Bacterial small subunit ribosomal RNA", at positions 28 to 507 of the family's 1533-position model. The record is from RNAcentral.